AACGCACAUUGCGCCCUUUGGUAUUCCGAAGGGCAUGCCUGUUCGAGCGUCAUUUCACCACUCAAGCCUGGCUUGGUAUUGGGCGCCGCGGUCAAUCCGCGCGCUUCAAAGUCUCCGGCUGAGCUGUCCGUCUCUAAGCGUUGUGAUUUCAUUAAUCGCUUCGGAGUGCGGGCGGCCGCGGCCGUUAAAUCUUUCACAAGGUUGACCUCGGAUCAGGUAGGGAUACCCGCUGAACUUAA
RNAcentral lists this unclassified non-coding RNA (239 nucleotides) under uncultured Septoria. Its description in RNAcentral is "sequence contains ITS2". The stretch from base 1 to 52 matches the Rfam family "5.8S ribosomal RNA", at positions 103 to 154 of the family's 154-position model. Lineage: Eukaryota; Fungi; Ascomycota; Dothideomycetes; Mycosphaerellales; Mycosphaerellaceae. The record is from RNAcentral.